GAGUUUGAUCCUGGCUCAGGGUGAACCGCUGCCGGCAAUGCUUAAACACAUGCAAGUCGAACGGAACUAAAGGGGCUUGCUUCUUAAGUUAGUGGCGCACGGGUGAGUAAUAUAUAGCUAACCCUGCCCUUAGUGGGGGGACAACAGUUGGAAACGACUGCUAAUACCCUAUACUCCUUCUUUACUAUAAGGUAAGUUGGGAAAGAUUUAUCGCUAAAGGAUGGGGCUUUAUUGUAUCAGCUAGUUGGUGGGGUAAUGGCCUACCAAGGCUAUGACGCAUACCUGGUAUGAGAGGAUGAUCAGGCACACUGGUACUGAGACACGGUCCAGACUCUUACGGGAGGCAGCAGUGGGGAAUAUUGCACAAUGGAGGAAACUCUGAUGCAGCAACACCGCGUGGAGGAUGACGCAUUUCGGUGUGUAAACUCCUUUUAUAGGGGAAGAUAAUGACGGUACCCCAUGAAUAAGCACCGGCUAACUCCGUCCCAGCAGCCGCGGUAAUACGGAGGGUGCUACGCGUUCUCGGUAACAAUUGGGCGUAAAGGUUGCGGUUCAGCGCCGAGUUUGAUCCUGGCUCAGGGUGAACCGCUGCCGGCAAUGCUUAAACACAUGCAAGUCGAACGGAACUAAAGGGGCUUGCUUCUUAAGUUAGUGGCGCACGGGUGAGUAAUAUAUAGCUAACCCUGCCCUUAGUGGGGGGACAACAGUUGGAAACGACUGCUAAUACCCUAUACUCCUUCUUUACUAUAAGGUAAGUUGGGAAAGAUUUAUCGCUAAAGGAUGGGGCUUUAUUGUAUCAGCUAGUUGGUGGGGUAAUGGCCUACCAAGGCUAUGACGCAUACCUGGUAUGAGAGGAUGAUCAGGCACACUGGUACUGAGACACGGUCCAGACUCUUACGGGAGGCAGCAGUGGGGAAUAUUGCACAAUGGAGGAAACUCUGAUGCAGCAACACCGCGUGGAGGAUGACGCAUUUCGGUGUGUAAACUCCUUUUAUAGGGGAAGAUAAUGACGGUACCCCAUGAAUAAGCACCGGCUAACUCCGUCCCAGCAGCCGCGGUAAUACGGAGGGUGCUACGCGUUCUCGGUAACAAUUGGGCGUAAAGGUUGCGGUUCAGCGCC
Molecule: ribosomal RNA, 1120 nt
Filed under: uncultured bacterium
Lineage: Bacteria
Description: bacterial SSU rRNA
Rfam family: Bacterial small subunit ribosomal RNA (bases 553-1120)
Source: RNAcentral